Molecule: ribosomal RNA, 1255 nt
Filed under: Streptomyces sp.
Lineage: Bacteria; Bacillati; Actinomycetota; Actinomycetes; Kitasatosporales; Streptomycetaceae
Description: bacterial SSU rRNA
Rfam family: Bacterial small subunit ribosomal RNA
Source: RNAcentral
GCGAACGGGUGAGUAACACGUGGGCAAUCUGCCCUUCACUCCGGGACAAGCCUUGGGGACGGGGUCUAAUACCGGAUAACACUCUGUCCUGCAUGGGACGGGGUUAAAAGCUCCGGCGGUGAAGGAUGAGCCCGCGGCCUAUCAGCUAGUUGGUGGGGUAAUGGCCUACCAAGGCGACGACGGGUAGCCGGCCUGAUAGGGCGACCGGCCACACUGGGACUGAGACACGGCCCAGACUCCUACUGGAGGCAGCAGUGGGGAAUAUUGCACAAUGGGCGAAAGCCUGAUGCAGCGACGCCGCGUGAGGGAUGACGGCCUUCGGGUUGUAAACCUCUUUCAUCAGGGAAGAAGCAAAAGUGACGGUACCUGCAGAAGAAGCGCCGGCUAACUACGUGCCAACAGCCGCGGUAAUACGUAGGGCGCAAGCGUUGUCCGGAAUUAUUGGGCGUAAAGAGCUCGUAGGCGGCUUGUCACGUCGGAUGUGAAAGCCCGGGGCUUAACCCCGGGUCUGCAUUCGAUACGGGCUAGCUAGAGUGUGGUAGGGGAGAUCGGAAUUCCUGGUGUAGCGGUGAAAUGCGCAGAUAUCAGGAGGAACACCGGUGGCGAAGGCGGAUCUCUGGGCCAUUACUGACGCUGAGGAGCGAAAGCGUGGGGAGCGAACAGGAUUAGAUACCCUGGUAGUCCACGCCGUAAACGUUGGGAACUAGGUGUUGGCGACAUUCCACGUCGUCGGUGCCGCAGCUAACGCAUUAAGUUCCCCGCCUGGGGAGUACGGCCGCAAGGCUAAAACUCAAAGGAAUUGACGGGGGCCCGCACAAGCAGCGGAGCAUGUGGCUUAAUUCGACGCAACGCGAAGAACCUUACCAAGGCUUGACAUAUACCGGAAAGCAUCAGAGAUGGUGCCCCCCUUGUGGUCGGUAUACAGGUGGUGCAUGGCUGUCGUCAGCUCGUGUCGUGAGAUGUUGGGUUAAGUCCCGCAACGAGCGCAACCCUUGUUCUGUGUUGCCAGCAUGCCCUUCGGGGUGAUGGGGACUCACAGGAGACUGCCGGGGUCAACUCGGAGGAAGGUGGGGACGACGUCAAGUCAUCAUGCCCCUUAUGUCUUGGGCUGCACACGUGCUACAAUGGCCGGUACAAUGAGCUGCGAUGCCGCGAGGCGGAGCGAAUCUCAAAAAGCCGGUCUCAGUUCGGAUUGGGGUCUGCAACUCGACCCCAUGAAGUCGGAGUUGCUAGUAAUCGCAGAUCAGCAUGCUAC